UACGUAGGGGGCUAGCGUUGUUCGGAAUCACUGGGCGUAAAGCGCACGUAGGCGGCUUUCUAAGUCAGGGGUGAAAUCCUGGAGCUCAACUCCAGAACUGCCUUUGAUACUGGAGAGCUUGAGUCCGGGAGAGGUGAGUGGAACUCCGAGUGUAGAGGUGAAAUUCGUAGAUAUUCGGAAGAACACCAGUGGCGAAGGCGGCUCACUGGCCCGGUACUGACGCUGAGGUGCGAAAGCGUGGGGAGCAAACAGG
This 253-nucleotide ribosomal RNA is filed under the name uncultured bacterium. RNAcentral describes it as "partial 16S ribosomal RNA". It matches the Rfam family "Bacterial small subunit ribosomal RNA", at positions 524 to 776 of the family's 1533-position model. The record is from RNAcentral.